Molecule: ribosomal RNA, 305 nt
Filed under: uncultured bacterium
Lineage: Bacteria
Description: bacterial SSU rRNA
Rfam family: Bacterial small subunit ribosomal RNA
Source: RNAcentral
GGUCUCCUCGGGGCGCAGCAGUGGGGGAUAUUGCACAAUGGGGGAAACCCUGAUGCAGCGACGCCGCGUGAGCGAUGAAGUAUUUCGGUAUGUAAAGCUCUAUCAGCAGGGAAGAAAAUGACGGUACCUGACUAAGAAGCCCCGGCUAACUACGUGCCAGCAGCCGCGGUAAUACGUAGGGGGCAAGCGUUAUCCGGAUUUACUGGGUGUAAAGGGAGCGUAGACGGCAGUGCAAGUCUGAAGUGGAAGGCAAGGGCUCAACCCUUGGACUGCUUUGGAAACUGUGCUGCUGGAGUGUCGGAGAG